UUUUAAAACCCAAUUAAAGGAUCUGGUCAGCUCCGGUAGAAACACUUACUUCUUCCCGAAGGGUCACCACACUGUCCGUCUUGAGUUUAUAAUGUUUUUCGACUAAUGUCAAGGGGUAAGCCGACUGUCUGUAUUUCUGACUACUAUGUAAACCAAUUGGGACAAGGUUUUCAAUAGACAAAAUUUCCUAACAAAUGUGUUUUUUGUUUUCAGGAGGAUCGAACUCGGGUCUUUACGUUUCACUAUUCACCGAACCUUCCCCUACUACUAAACCACAUAUGCUUGGGCAUGAAGAGAAAAUUUACGACAGAGAUUUUUAAGGAUUUCUAAAGAUGAUAAGGUACGGUGUGAAUAGGUUAAGAAAAACUAACUUAAUAAAAUAAAUGUUUUCUACAGUCCCUUGAUGUGUUCAUA
RNAcentral lists this small RNA (414 nucleotides) under Arabidopsis thaliana (thale cress). RNAcentral describes it as "ATSL214020". Lineage: Eukaryota; Viridiplantae; Streptophyta; Magnoliopsida; Brassicales; Brassicaceae. The record is from RNAcentral.